This 332-nucleotide unclassified non-coding RNA is filed under the name soil metagenome. RNAcentral's name for it is "partial contains 5.8S ribosomal RNA, internal transcribed spacer 2, and large subunit ribosomal RNA". The stretch from base 1 to 120 matches the Rfam family "5.8S ribosomal RNA", at positions 35 to 154 of the family's 154-position model. The record is from RNAcentral.
GAUGAAGAACGCAGCGAAACGCGAUAUGUAAUGUGAAUUGCAGAAUUCAGUGAAUCAUCGAAUCUUUGAACGCACAUUGCGCCCGCCAGUAUUCUGGCGGGCAUGCCUGUUCGAGCGUCAUUUCAACCCUCAAGCACAGCUUGGUGUUGGGACUCGCGUUAAUUCGCGUUCCCCAAAUUGAUUGGCGGUCACGUCGAGCUUCCAUAGCGUAGUAGUAAAACCCUCGUUACUGGUAAUCGUCGCGGCCACGCCGUUAAACCCCAACUUCUGAAUGUUGACCUCGGAUCAGGUAGGAAUACCCGCUGAACUUAAGCAUAUCAAUAAGCGGAGGA